CACGACCUGGGCUUCAAUCGGAUUCUCUAUUUUCCUCUCCAAUCAUGGCGUCCACUGAUGUUCUUAAACGAGAAGCGAAUCGCUUCACUUUUUCUCCUCUCAACGAUCCACUCAAUGGUGAUACGGAUUCUCGGGGUAUGUCAAUCGAGAAGAAGAUAGAAUUUUUGGAGAGCUUGACUGGGAAGGUUACCAAUAGGAAGUCUCGCAGAUGGUUAAAUGAUCGUCUUUUGAUGGAGCUUGUUCCUCGUUUGAAUGCUGAAGAAAUUAGAGGCUUGUUUGCUCCACCACCUUGGGGUGAUGAUGUACGGCCCACAACAUUCUCCAUGAUUGAUGCAGGAGACUGGGAUAAGUUCAGGAGUAUUGACAUGGAUAAAGAGGCUAAGAUCAUUGGAGUCUUCGAGAACUCAUCUGCUAAGAGAAAGGGUCAUAUUGAUGCAGACAAAAUGGCUUUCUUGAAUGCCUGGCGCAGAAUUGAGUGUCGAACGAGAGAGGCACUUCGCCGUAGUUUUCUUCCAGAGCUUGUUGAAGGUUUUGAGGAGUGCAUAAGAUCAUUCAUUUCAGAAACUGGUAAAGAAGAUGUCUUAACUUUGCGGGUUCAAGAUCCUUUUCACAGAUUAUUGCUACAUGGAGUUUGUGAGUUCUACAAUUUGGACUCGGUGACUGUCCCGGAGUCAAAGAACGGUGGCUCCAUAAAGAUGACUCGUAUAACAAGGAAGAAGAAGUCCAUGACUAAGGUCCCGAAUAUAACCCUGACCCAUUUCCUUAAAAUGUCCAAAGAAGGAACAUGGUAACUUCAAUUAAUUAGAUGA
RNAcentral lists this unclassified non-coding RNA (809 nucleotides) under Hevea brasiliensis (rubber tree). The record is from RNAcentral. Lineage: Eukaryota; Viridiplantae; Streptophyta; Magnoliopsida; Malpighiales; Euphorbiaceae.